GUGACGAAGCGACGCCGCGUGUGGGAUGAAGGCCUUCGGGUUGUAAACCACUGUCGGGAGUUAAGAAUUGUAGGAAUGCUAAUAGUAUUUCUACUUGACUAAGGCUCCGGAGGAAGCCACGGCUAACUCUGUGCCAGCAGCCGCGGUAAUACAGAGGCGGCAAGCGUUGUUCGGAAUUAUUGGGCGUAAAGGGCAUGUAGGCGGCUAUGUAAGUCGGUUGUGAAAGCCUUCCGCUUAACGGAAGAAUGGCGGUCGAAACUGCAUGGCUUGAGUGCGGGAGGGGAGAGUGGAACUUCUGGUGGAGUGGUGAAAUGCGUAGAUAUCAGAAGGAACGUCGGCGGCGAAAGCGACUCUCUAGACUGUAACUGACGCUGAGUGUGCGAAAGCUAGGGGAGCAAACGGGAUUAGAUACCCCGGUAGUCCUAGCCGUAAACGAU
This 437-nucleotide ribosomal RNA is filed under the name uncultured anaerobic ammonium-oxidizing bacterium. Its description in RNAcentral is "bacterial SSU rRNA". It matches the Rfam family "Bacterial small subunit ribosomal RNA", at positions 383 to 810 of the family's 1533-position model. The record is from RNAcentral.